This 8842-nucleotide long non-coding RNA is filed under the name Lynx pardinus (Iberian lynx). The record is from RNAcentral. Lineage: Eukaryota; Metazoa; Chordata; Mammalia; Carnivora; Felidae.
UCUCUUAAAAAAGCCAAAGAAACUUUGUUCAUUCUUUCCUUUCUUUCCAUUUCCUCUUUCUAAUUUCCGUCUCCUCCUUCCUUCCUUCUUUCCCUGCCCCCUUCCCCCUCUCCCUCCACUCUCUUGGGGGGGCUGCGGGGAAAUGCCUUACCCGCGCAGGAGUUCAUCCGCUGCAUCCAGGGGUAAACAGGGCUCGUGUACUUCCGGUCGGUGCCUUCGUCAUGGAGGGCUUUGCCCGGCACGCUGCUGCUGUCGGGUUUGUACUGCUGCUCGGGAGAAAAGUGCAGGUAGUCCCCGGGGCCCCUCUGCUUGCCACUGCCUGAGGGCGAGGCGCCACUGAGGUCCUUAUCAGAAUAGAAACACGAGGCCCCGUACUCGUAGGACGCCCGGUUGCAGGCCAGGACCGAGUUGGACUGUUGGUAGAAACAAGGUGAGGUGUACGUCUUGUCCGGGAGGCUCGACGCCCCGUACGAGGCCGGGAAGGGCCUCAGCGCGUCAUAGCCAGCCGGGUAGAGGGGCAGCUGGCCCAAGAAGGAGUCCUGGCCGCUGGGCAGGCUCCCGGGGAAAGUGGGAUUCACAAAAUAGGAACUCAUUUGCGCGCCCCUCUGCAGGACUGUGAUUUGUUGUGUAUUAGUACAUCUGGCUAUAACUAUUAGUAGUCAUCGAACUGGUUUGUUUCUGGAUGGCCGAACGCCAAAAGCGACAGCAGCAAAUCGCACCAGCUGACGCGGCGGCGGCCAAUGGGAGCGAGCGCUGGAGCCCGCUCCCCGGGGACCGCGGCGACCGAGGCAGCAAAGUUACAAACAGCCCCCAGCCCGCCCGCCCGCCGCCCGCCCGGCAGAUUAAUGGGCGCGCACAGCCAGCCGGCCCGGCUCUCUUUCCGAACGCCAGCGGCGGGCACGGCCCGGGCAGGGGCGUGCGAAUCAGGCCGGGGUAGGGGCACUAGAGUCCGGGCCGCCGCAAAGGCCCCGCCAGGCCCGCUCCCUCCUCCUCCCCUUCUUGCCUUUUCGGAUUUUGCUGGUUUUUCUUUCCAAACAGGAAACCUGACAGCCCCGCGCCGGGAGGGGCGGUGACCACGACGGCUUAGCUCCCGGCCGGCUUGCCCGCCCCGCAGGGCUCUGAGCGUGCCCCUCCCUCUGCACUCCCCCGCCCGUGGGUGCGGGUUCCGGGACUGAAGAAGGGGGCCUGAGAAACCAGGCCUUCACGCCCAGCUCCUCACUCCUGCGUCUUAGGAAUCCGUGCAUCCCUUCCCUCUUUCCUUCCCACUCCCACCAAGGGCCUGGGCCUCGCUACCGCCUGGAGCCGAAGGCUCACCUCGAGCUGACCAGAUCGCGGCUAAACGUCUUCCCCUGGCAGCCCCAUCCGCCCACAUACAACACGUCUCCUUUGAGUCCAGACGGGCUCCCCUCCAAUGGCCAACGACCGCCUGGCCUCAAAGCACCCCACAAGCUGUGCGUCCCCGUACCACCUUUGAACCCAGGAAUCCAGAGGCCAGAAACCACUGGUUUCAACAAGAAAGGGACCUACAAGGGAGUGGCCUGGAGACUGAGCUUCGAAGCAAAACGGGGGAACCCGCUCCCCUCACCCAGCCCUUGGGACUCGUCCUCUCAACACCCGAAGUGCUCAGAGCUGAGACAGAUCCAGAUGUGGAAUAUCUGUCCUCUUUCUGGAGGCACGGCAUCCCAAGGUCCCUGCCGAGCCAGGCAUAGAGGGCAGCUGGGACGUCCCAAAGGCUGUGGGGUAAUUGAUGUGCUUGGUUUCUGGGGUGCCCGACAGCCCGCACUUUCCUGGGGUGUACCCUCUCCCCUGCCUUUCCUGGGACUGCUGGGGGCCUGCCGGUUGCAGUUGCCCCAGUGCCGGGAACAGUUGCCUCACGGGCUCCAGGAAUCCUCUGCAUUGCUUUUGCCGUUGUCACAGGCCUGGCCUUUCCCAGACAGGAGGUGAAAAGUGUGUCCCUGGCUGCCCUUGCUUGAUAGGUGUGCCUUGGAGAUAGUUGACUUUUACAGCACAUGGAUCAAUCUCAUUUUGUAAAACGUGAUAUCUUUCCAAUGGCAUUUUUACAACUGUAUUUGUUGGGCUUGUAAAACCCUUGAAUUAGCUUUAAAAUCCUCAAUUCUGUGGAGGCUGAAGAAAGACUAUUUAUACAAUUUGGUUGAAUUUCCGGAGGAUGUUUCUAAGAUCUGUAAAACUCUGAUGAAUGCAGGCUGAUGGGGUUCAGGACUUGGGGGUGGCAAUGCCCUCCUGGAAUCUGACAACGACUUCCUUAAUCUCCUCCUUGCUUUUUGAUUUUUUUUUGCCCCUGCCCUCACUUCCCUCAAAGGGAGAAAACUGGGAAAGGACUGGGCUAAGGGUGGCCUCCACAGAACCUAGCAAGCACCCUAGAAAGUGGCUGUUGCCCACGCGAUGGGGUCUACACCCAGAAGCCUUCUCCCUGUGCCCCAAUCAAUCCACGCUGGGAAAGUUUCUCCUUUGCAUAUGUAAAAAGGGCCUGGCAGGAGAAGAGAGAAUGUAACAUUUCCCUGGAAUUUCUUCAGGGAAUGGACCCGAUAGGUGAAAAUGAAAACUCAAGUAAAAAAUUUUAAAGGGAACUAUUUUUUUUAAGGCUAUGUCCAAAGAAAAUCAUGUUUGAGUUAUUGUUUCCUACACAAGACCAUCAGAUGACAGUGACGUCAAGCAAAUUAUUAUUAUAUAAGACAAAAAUAACUGUUGGGAGAUGUUGAGAAAUGUUUACAUUUAUAAUUUCUGCUUCAUACCUCCAGGUCUCACACAGCAUUGGGAGUGAUGGCAGUUGACUACAUAUACUACUAUUGUUAUUAUUUGUUAUGGUUUGACUUAGAUUCUUGAUCUAAUAAUUACCCCCCAGACAAUGACAGAAUUUGAUUUCUCAGCUAAGAGCCAAAAACCAUUGUGUUUCUAGCUUCUAUAGGCAGUGAGACAGAAAAAAAUAAAUUAAAUUGAAAUCUCCAGGUGUUAGCCAAGGCUGGUACAUAUCAGGUUGGCAACGGCCCAAUUUAUUUCUCCAACCAGCUUUAGGUGCAUAUAUAGAGAGAGAGAGAGAGAGAGAGAGAGAGAGAGAGAGAGGCACACACACACACUCAGGCAAGAAUAGGAGCCCCAGACGCUGGAGGGAGCCUCUCCUGGGAUAGUGAGAAUGGCUAUCAGGACUCUCUCUUCUAGGUCAAAGCCACAGAGAAGGUCUACUUACCUUUCAGCUGCUCUUCAAGGGGGACUGGAUGGUGAGCAGGGCCCCACAGUCCGCCCUUUCUCUGGGCUGCCCACUCGACCUCCGCCAGCUUGGAGGGCGGCCCGCCGGUGUGUGGGGUGGACCUUGAGGGCCACCCGGGCCGCCUGGAUCUGUAGCCCAGGCCAGAGCCCAUAGCAUACAGGUGCGGCCUCUGCCUGUCAGAGGCCCUCGCCUGACGCCAAAGCCCGCCUUCCUUGCCAUAGCCAAUCCUCCUCAGGGCCAGCCAGGCCUGCAGGCCUCGGGGCCAGGAAUGGUCUCUCCGAUUUGCAAAUCCCAAAGCGGGCGCCUUCCCCGAACCAGCGUGCGCCCCGGGGACGCCUUGGGACGCGCAGUUUGGACAGAAGCAGCCAUAACGUGCCAGGCCGCCUGUGCAACCAGUCUCCAUGGCGCUGGGGGUAGGGGGAGGACCCGAGUCUAGUCGGGCUUCCAGCUCCUAUCAGGGGUGGCCAAGGCGGGGGAGGUUCCCGACAGGCCCUGGGAGGCCGCCCCUCAGGUCCUCCCUUGCCCCCCUCUGCUCGGCCUGCUUGGGAAUCUCUGAGGGGCCCGCGCAGCAGUCGCGCCAGGCUGCACGACGCGGGGCUGCGGCUGGCGUCGGUCCCGGCGACGGCCACAGCGUGGCAGCAGCGAGCGCCCAGCGCGGUCGCAAUAAAUAAUCUGCCCGCGGCAGCCGCAGUCAGGCAGCCCGCGGCCCUGCGACGCAAACGCGCAGCUUUAUCCUCCCUGAGUGCACCCACAGCGCCGGUGGACGUCCCAAACAUCUACAGCCCCUUCUUAAUUUUCUAAUGCACACCAAGGUAUUAUCUUAAGGUGGAAAAACAACAACAACGACCAGAACCACAGAACAAACAAAAAGAACUCGAGCCCAGAACCUCAGGAUCCUUUCUGGUCGCAGUCCCAGGAAGCUCCCGGGGCAAAUCUGGCCGACGCGCACCCAGGCCAAGCAACGGUCUGUGCCACCGCUCCACAUAAAGUCAGUGCCCACGGUACCCUCCGUGCCUCCCGGGCGGCUUCACAGUCCCCUCCCGGCUCGCGGAAAGUGGGGCGCGCGGUCGGCGGCCCGCUGCGCCGAUGUGGGGGUGGUGGGGUCCCCCUAUCGCCCAGACGCGGUUUGCGUCCUUCUUUCAACCUUAGCUGCGGGCCCCUGCCACUCUCAAUAACACCAGCACAUUCUCUGCACCGAAACUUCCCGCCAAGCAACACCCAGCCAAUUAACCCCAUCCUCUCCUCCAACACAGAGUUCCACCCACGCACCUAGUCCCUCUCCCCGCGCUUCAGACACAUCUGUCAUCGGAAAACCGCGUGAAAGGAAGCAGGCAAUCAGCAGAAGAACCUGGCCGAAUUAGUAAGUUUUUGUUUGUUUGUUUUUUUUCCCCCUCAUUCUACCUUUCUCUCCAGAAACCGAGUCCCUCAGAAUAGAAGGUGCUGUGUUGACACUAAUAAAAAAGCAGGUCGAUUAAUUCACUUUGCCCUCACCUCUUCCCACCUCCCCAGGUCGGGAACUGUCUUCAAUUGUUGGGAAAUUCAACCGAGCCAACUGGGUCAUGAAUGAAAAAAAAAAAAAAAUCCAAACCCGGGAGAUUGGCAAGGAACGCGGAGGGCAGGGCCACUUCUUUUUGGGCUCGGCAAGGUCGCUGGGGAAGAGGGGAGAGACCUCAGUGCUCCUGCCCCAUGCCAGGGCGCUGUGCCACUGAAAGGAGGCUGGCAUUCACUGCCAUGGUGAGCAAGAGAGAGGAGAGAGGGAGAGUGUGUGUGUGUGUGCGCGCGCGCGCGCACGUGUGAAGGGGGGCAAGUGUGAACGGUGAGUGUGGGCGAGGGUGAGUAUGCCCCUCUUCAAAGCCGCCCCAGUGCCCUCUCCCACCGCCGCCGGCGCCGGCUGCCAUCUCACCACCUUUGCUCCUGUCUCCCCACAUGUCUCACCUUCAGAUGGCGGCUCCCAGAAGCUCCUGCCCCUCUGACAGCUGUCGCUUGGGCAGCCGGGGAGACGAAUUGUCCUCCUUCCUGGUGCCAGAGGACGCAGGAAAUUAGCCAGGUUGCGAGUUGCGAAGCGGCCGCCGCGGCGCCGGGAACUGGACGCGCCCCACCUCCAGCGGGAGCGGCCGGGCCGGGCCGGGCCGGGGCCUCGUCUCGCUCGCCAUCGCCGGACAAAGCGCAGCCAAGCCCGGCUGGAAGGCAGAGCUCCGAAGCAGGCAGGACGGAGCGGAGCAAAAGAAUGCGGCUCUAUUCUCGCAAGGGAAAUUAUAAAAAAGUUCAUGUUCACGGUUCCCAUCCACAUGACCGACAGCGGCCAAUGGAAGGGCCGAACAACUCAUAAAGUUGUAUUGCAAAGUUGUAAAUUUUCAUAAACAACAACGGAUUUAUGACCCUUUCCCCAUCACUAAGAGGAGGCAGCUCUUACACCGGCGCCAUCUUACCACCGAGGCUGCCCCGACUUGGGGACGCAGGUUUUACAAACCCAGUUGGGCCGGGUUUUAUUAAAAGAGCGAGAAGAAGCGGGCCCAACCUAGGCAGGAGGCUGGAGUCGAGGUCUUCGCCCGCCGAGCUCAGGCUAUUCUGCGCUGUCCCCAUCGCCCUUCGCCCCUUACGCAGACCCUCAUCCUUCCCCGCACCCGGACGCCCCCGCCAAGGCUCCGCAGCCAGGGGGUCUGCGGUCCCUGCCCCUUCCUCUACCCCUCAGUUGCAGUGCUGUGCCCAGGCGCCCUUGCUUUGCCUGAAUGCAGGGUGGGAGGGGGGCUGCGUCAAAGGGCCUGAAUCCCACCUCCUAGCAUGGGGCUGGGUUCAUGGAAAAUUCAGGAUCAUUGGCAGGGUAAUACCCCUUCCCAAGCCCACCCCACAGCAGUAGGGGAAAGGGUGGAUUUUGGAUUUGCUCACGGAAUUUAUGGGUUUUUAGAGAGAUUCAUAGGCUAUAAUGUAUCUACCGAAGAUUCCGUUUUCUAGAGAUCCGGGAGAUGUUUGUGCACACACGCAAAACCAAGACAAAAAUUUCCAGAGAAAUGCACAUGUACAAUUAUAGACACACAGAAACACACACACUCAAUUAUGGACACAGAAAUACAUAAAAUUAUGGAUUCCUGUAGUAAUACACACAUACAUAAAAAUGCACAUACAAAAGAGGUACACACGCACCUAUACAAAUCCACACAAAAAGGGACCUGCCACACAUAAACACCAAACCAUGGACACUCAACACCUGGACGUUAUUCAUCCUUCCAUGUUUGCUUCCCCAAGACCCCUUUGGGCAUGCAGACAUACCCAGGGCUUGCUCUCCAGCCAUGGUCACCUCUCUUUCCCAGGCCCCCCUAGAUAAAGCAGUCCAUGUUUCUUUGUCACCAAGCAUCUUUAUUUUUCUGUUACAUAAAACACGGUUAGCUGGGCAAGACAGGAAGCAUGCCUUCCCAUUCCUGGAACCCCAAGCUAAAGCCUAAAGGGACAAGGGGGGACGCAGGACAACACAAGAGAUGAAGGGCAUUGAGAAGGGCAUUAGCCCUCCCCACCAGCUAUAAAGUUAGCUCAAGACAACACACCAUGCUACAAAGUCACCCCAUUAACACAUCCUUCCCAAGUCAAGACAUUGCCUUACAAAUGACCUCCAAGACUAUAUAAAUGACAAAAAAAAAAUCUUGUUCAAAUAUACAAUAUUUGCUAUUGUAGGAAAAGUCAGGGUGUACAUAUUCAACAUGGCUGGACAGUAGGACAUGGGGCCAGGGGAGGUGCAGGAGGCUGGGAGCAUCUCUGCAGUCCUACUAAGCAAAGCUAACCCAGAGGUCUGCAGCUAGCUUGGGAGUGCUCCCCUCCAGAAGUGGGAGUAAAGGGCCUGAACUUGGGGUGCCCAGACCAGAGAUGGAGGGAUUCUAGGUUGCAGCACUUAGAAUGCUUUGGAAUAAAUAUAUUAUUUUUCAAUUUAAAUAGAAGCCAAUACCCUGGUCCCCGGACCCCAGCGUCUUCUCAGUGCAGCCUCAGGGACCCCAAAGGCUGCUGGGCAGAAGCAAGAGGGGCCUGGCCGGGGAAGGGGCCGGCACUAGGUAGCAGGCGAGCCAGUGAGCACAAAAUAGGUAGUUUGGGGCGAGUAGGUAGUACUGAGAAAAUCAGGUCCUUGUCGGUAUGGGGGAGGUGCUGGGUGUCUGCCAGUGUUGGGACGCGUCUGGGCUUCCUGGGAGUGGAGGCCUACUGGGGACUGGGCCCAUAGGUAGUUUGGGGUUGCCUCUGGCCGAGGCCUGUGCUAGGUAGUAUUUUAGCCGUGCCAGUGCAGAACUGGGCGGCCGGGGUAGGGAGAGUGUCUGCUGGGAGUCCUUGGGGCAGAGGGAUCCCCAAGGGGACCCAGUCUAGGCGGCUGCUUAGUCCAGAAAAGGUGGGAGCUGGGAUAGGUAAUGGGGUAGAUGGGUGCAGGUUGGGGAUUGUUGUUUUUGUUUUUGUUUUUGUUUUUCACGUUUUCUUUUUAUUUUUUCCACUUUUGUAAAUAAAUUCAGUGAGUCUCUAAAGACGCUUUCCCGACUGUCUGGUGCAGCCAGGGCCCCUACUCGGCCCCUCAUUCCUCUUCCUCGUCGUCUUCCUCUUCGUCGUCUUCGUCCUCAUCGUCGGCCUUGUCCGUGGCGGCGGCGGUGGCGGCGGCGGCGGCGGCGGCGGCGGGCACUGCGCCCUCGGGGGCUGCGGCGGCCGGACCCUCAUCUUUAUGCUCUUUCUUCCACUUCAUGCGGCGGUUCUGGAACCAGAUCUUGAUCUGGCGCUCGGUGAGGCAGAGCGCAUGGGCGAUCUCGAUGCGGCGGCGCCGCGUCAGGUAGCGGUUGAAGUGGAACUCCUUCUCCAGCUCCAGCGUCUGGUAGCGCGUGUAGGUCUGGCGGCCCCGCUUCCUGUCGGGCCCUGGAAGCAGACAUGUGGACACACGGACACACGGACAGUUUAGCCAACACAGACACAAGACAGUGCAUUAGCCAGACCGCUAUGCCAGAGCCUGCACCUUUCUCCCAGCGCUAGCCCGGGCGCGCGUCCCCCUCCGCCCGCGCCCCGGAACGGAGCUGGGGGAGGAGCGGGAGUGUUAGCGGAAGACCCCAACUGCGGUGCCAGACGCGCAGGCAGCUCUGUGAGGAAGCAAGGCGCAGAAUCCCAACUUUACAACCGCCCUUUCCAGCCGGCUAGGCUUCCACAAUGUCCUGCUUCCCCCUGACAAAGGGAAAUUGUAAAUAUAGAGUGUGGGCAAGUGGGAGACGCUGCGCUUUUGCCAUUCAAAGGAGAGCUGGACCGCUUCCCCCCCCCGCCUCUUGCUAGGCAAGUGGGUGACCAUCGGGCGAUCCGCUCUCCAGGGGCGCCUUUCCUCCCUAGAAGACCGCGCCCCCCAUCCCCGGAACUUCCUAGGGCACUCCGACCCCCUGUCUCCGCUCUGGUUCCCCACCCCUCCUUUAAAUGGCCCCUGGCACUGGGGCGUUAGAGGGGCCCAGAUGAAGGGUUUGGCUCUUCCUCUUUUGAGAAAGAAAAGCCAGGCUGAAAGGAAAAGGAGGAGGGAGGGAGAGAAGAAAGGGAGAGAGAAAGAGAGAAAGAGAGAAUAGCGAGCAAAAUGUUAAAAUUCCAAGGCAAAUGGAGUUAAAUAAAUUUACGAGGAUCGAACCC